RNAcentral lists this ribosomal RNA (32 nucleotides) under Rhinocladiella atrovirens. RNAcentral describes it as "partial 18S ribosomal RNA". RNAcentral also lists the same sequence under 4 other names. Lineage: Eukaryota; Fungi; Ascomycota; Eurotiomycetes; Chaetothyriales; Herpotrichiellaceae. The record is from RNAcentral.
UCCGUAGGUGAACCUGCGGAAGGAUCAUUAAC